GUGUCUGUGAACAGACAAUUCACAGUCUUACGGUGGUACAGAAAUGGCUUAGCUAAGGCAAAACAUUUUAUUAUUCCAAAAGUAAAUGACAGCCAUGGUUCUCUGCUCCCAUCAGUCCUUCAAUACUCCGAACUCAUUGAACGAAUGACCAGCACUUGUUGAGCAUUUUGUACUGGGGCUGGACAUUGACCUCCAUCUGAAAUGGACUCGGAGAUGAAACAGCACGUCGUCUGUCGUGCCUACACUCCAGCAGCUGACUGAACCUUGCUGUGUAGCUGUUCUAAAUGGAUUAACCCAUGGCUUCUACGUGAAUCAUUCUACCCACAGCCUCAUUUCCAGGUAUUUACACCUAAUUUCAUCUUCCUCUCUGACCCUCUGCUGGAAUUCUUCCUAAGGAUCUUGAACUAUGUGUUAAUUUGCUGAGGUUGCCAUAACAAAAUACCAUUCUGGGGGUCUUAAUCACGAGAAGCUUUUUUCUCGCAGUUCCUGAGGCUGGAAGCCCAAGAUGAAGAAUGACCCCUGGUCAGAGGAGAGGAUUUGGAAAUCCCAUAGAGGGUCACCUUUAGGAAGACCUCGGUCUUCACAAGUAGGAGGACCAUCAAAAACUGCUGCGUUACUCUAUCACCACCGUGUGAACAAACCCAGGCCAGCCUACAGAAGGAUGUACAGCAGAGAGAAAUCAUCCUACCAGAGGCCAGCUCUUGGUGAACCCGAGAGGCACUGUCCAUUACACGAGCGAUUCUAAAGAAGAGCAGCUACACUAACUUCUAUCAUCAGACCUACUCAGUUGACCCUGUAGAUACCUGAACAAUUAUUAAAUUCUUAU
This is a long non-coding RNA of Manis pentadactyla (Chinese pangolin), 826 nucleotides long. RefSeq lists it as uncharacterized. NCBI's taxonomy places the organism in Eukaryota, Metazoa, Chordata, Mammalia, Pholidota, Manidae. The record is from RefSeq and is a predicted model, not a curated record. The transcript has 4 exons.